This 460-nucleotide ribosomal RNA is filed under the name uncultured bacterium. Its description in RNAcentral is "partial 16S ribosomal RNA". It matches the Rfam family "Bacterial small subunit ribosomal RNA", at positions 338 to 795 of the family's 1533-position model. The record is from RNAcentral.
CCUACGGGUGGCAGCAGUGAGGAAUAUUGGUCAAUGGACGAGAGUCUGAACCAGCCAAGUAGCGUGAAGGAUGACUGCCCUAUGGGUUGUAAACUUCUUUUAUAUGGGAAUAAAACAGGGUAUGCAUACCCUCUCGUAUGUACCAUAUGAAUACGGAUCGGCUAACUCCGUGCCAGCAGCCGCGGUAAUACGGAGGAUACGUGCGUUAUCCGGAUUUAUUGGGUUUAAAGGGAGCGUAGGUGGAUUGUUAAGUUAGUUGUGAAAGUGUGCGGCUCAACCGUAGAAUUGCAGUUGAAACUGGCAGUCUUGAGUACAGUAGAGGUGGGCGGAAUUCGUGGUGUAGCGGUGAAAUGCUUAGAUAUCACGAAGAACUCCGAUUGCGAAGGCAGUUCACUGGACUGCAACUGACACUGAGGCUCGAAAGUGUGGGUAUCAAACAGGAUUAGAUACCCUAGUAGUC